GUCAGAGAGCUUCAGGAGUCCCCGCUUGCCAAACAGUAGUACGUAAAUACGAAUGCUGAACACUGGGACGUGUGGCCCUAAAUAGUAUCACCGCGACGGCGGCCCCGGGAGAAGAGAUGUACUGCCAUGUACUGGCUGUGUGCCUUUGAGGUUGAAGGCAAAUACUUGAAGUUGCAAUCGAAGGUCAAGAAAAUGGAAUCAAGAGGUCACAAUCCUUCUCUGAUAAUGGCUUAGAAAGCUGGAAGACACUCAACAUUGAAUCCUGGGGCUCUGUGCCAUGCUUGCUAGGAGAAACAGCCACCAUGAGUCCAUCUUUCAGAUCUCAAGUGAACAGGGAAGAGAUUACUGCGUUCAGCACAGGGACAUCUACAAAGAAGGGAAGAAGAAACAGGGACAGACCAGUGAAGCAAUAGAAUAGUUACGUGGUUGUCAUUCUCCAGCUGGGAUUGAGAACAAGGGGAAGCUGGCCAUAGAGCCAGGUGACCAAAGAUGGAAGACAAAGGGUGGGCUGUGAUUCCCAGAGCUCCAAGCCUUGUUCUGUCUUGUCACACCAACUGUUACUGAUGAACAGAAAUCACAGAAAACAGAAAAGGUGUCAGAAGACUAGAGGUUAAGAAAAUGUCUCAAUUUUCAAAAGACAUGGGUUCUAGAUAUGAGACCAGUAACCCAUUCACGAAUCUACCAAUUUGUGAAGACAUCAAUUCCCAUUGGGAGGCAUGAGUUCUCCAAGCUCUAAGAACAUAAAAUGCCCAAGAGAACCUCACUUUCAUUUGUGACCCAGUCAUUAGACUGGACACCAGGGCCCCCAGAGUUCCAUCAUCUUCCAGAAGAAGACAGCACUUGAAGAGGAGACAUCAGACCCAAGGUCUGGUCUCAGCUCUACUUGCUGGUCGGGUGACCCUGAGGGGGAGAUACCUUUCCUUGGAUUCAGUUUUCUUAUCUAAAUUUGAGAUUUGGGGACUUUAAGGGGACCAAGUGUCACAGAGUCAAAGAACAAAAGCCCUGAAGUCAGACAAUUACAGGUUUCAAUCAAGGGUCUCAAAUUAUAUCCCCUCUCUGAGUCUGCUUCCUUGUUUGUAAAAUGAGUACAAUGUUUACCCUUGGCGUUCUUCUGAAGUUUAAAUGAUAGAAUAUAAAGUAUCUAGUAAGCAGUAGACAUUUUUUUAAGGCUUCAUUAAUGUUAGUCCCUUCCCUCUAAAGUGUUCUCUGUCUAGCUCUGAAAUCUCAGUGAUUUUCAGAGUUGCUGAUUUACAGUUAUAGAAAGCUAUACCUGCUGCCUUUAUAGAUGCAGAGAAAGGAUCCUUAGGGAAGGUGUGGUUUAUUUGAAGUCCCUUAUGAUGCCUGUUGAUAUGUCCUGGAGAGACCGGGACAGUGCUGGUUGAUACCACUUAUCGCAGCAGCUUGCCCAGUACAGCAUUUGUCUCAGGCAAAUGUAUCCUGGGGCUGGGUGCAGUGGCUCACACCUAUAAUCCCAGCAUUUUGGGAGGCUGAGGCAGGCGGAUUGCUUGAGUCCAGGAGUUAAAGACCAGCCUGGGCAACAUGGUGAGACUCUGGCUAUACAAAAAAACUGAAAAAUUAGCUGGGUGUGGUGGCAUGCCUGUGGUCCCAGCUACUCAGGAGGUGAGACAGGAGGAUUGCUUGAGCCCAGGCAUUCAAGGCUGCAGUGAGCUGUGUUUGCGCCACUGCACUCCAGCCUGGGUAACAGAGCAAGACUCCAUCUCAAAAAACUACAUAAAAACAAAAAUGUAUUCUUGCUUGGAUAAUAAAUCGUAAGGACUGCUAUAUUUCAGAAAACAGAAUGAUUAGGGAGGCUCCCUGAAUUUUCAGCUAGCUAAACGACUGAAGCCAGAACAUUUCCAUAAGUAGACUGGCAGAUUAACUAAGAACAGUAAUUCGCAGUAUUUCUUUCUCCAGUCUCUUUUGCAAAACAUUCCCAUUCAUUAUUCCCACCAUGACAUGCAGUCAUUCUGCCUCAAGAUCUUUAUACAAGUCCCUGUGGGUUCUAGACUCCCACAGGGAACCCCUCACUAUUGGUUCACUACAAGGUUCUACACCUAGUCCUAUUCAACAUAUUUGUCAUUACCUGGAUGAAGACAUAGAGAACAUGCUUCUCAGUUUUUAAAACUUUCAGGGAUAGAAAGUUGAGAAAGCAAAUGAUGAAGCAAGAUUCAAAAUUACUUUGCAAACUGAAAAAAUGGACCCAAAGCAAAUCACAUAAAAUGUAAGGAUACACUUAAAGGCAUACAUUUAGAUUUUUACAAAUAGCUCAAGGACAGGAUACUGGAAACACAGCUUGACAACAAAUUCUGAUGAAAACACUGGAAGUUUCGGUAGAACACUAACACAAAAAUAGCAGCUGCUAGAAAUUCAAACAUGCUGCUCAGCAAUGGUUUGAAAAAGCAAAUUUUAGGCAGGUCUGACAGAAGUGUGGUGCCGAGAUGCUGAGAGGUAAAGGCCCCAGGGUAAGUGGGACCAAGCAGACCCCACCUCAGCUGCUCUGUCCAUGUGGGAAUCAAAUUGCCCAGGAAGGGAGGGGCCAGGAGCCAGUUCAGCUGUGCCCAAUGUGACGCAUAACUCAAGAGCUGGGUGCAUAAGCUCUGAGAAGAAUAAGAAACAUCCAAGGAGGCAUGACCAUUUCCUUCAAUUAUUUGAGAGGCUGCUACAUGGCCAAGAGAGAGAACUUAUUUUAGACUUGUUUGGGGGGCAUAACCAGGGACUUACAAGGUUCAGUUCAGGAGUCAGCUAUGAAGAGAUCUUUUUUAAUAAUUACAGCUGGCCAAGGGAUGGGCCAUCACUGGGGCAUUACACCAAUGGCUGCAGCAUUAGAGAUGGUAGAAGACACAGGUUUCUAGAGGGCUGUGAGGUGCACCCAUUCUCUGAAUUGAGCCAGUAGUUCUCAAACCCACCAUGGGCACUGCUGAACUGGAUGACCCUAGAUUUACUUCUUUUUUUCAAUGACUCUAUUAAAAUACAGCUUGCAGUGCCAGUACCUUAAGACAGUUUUCUCCGUAACGGGGCUAUGAGGGAAAUGAGCACCAAAGCACAUGACUUCAGGACAUGAGUGUGGGGUACAGGGAAAAGAGACAUGUUCUGAACCUGAAUGAAGCUGGGGAACCUCUCACCUGAGUGCCUGCAUUUGGCAGCCUGAUAUUUUCGGCAGCAGCAGUCACAUCAAUGAAGGCUCGCAUGAGAAUGUCCAAGUAGUUCAGUUUGGAAUACUCCUGUUUGGAGACAGUGAAUGCAUUAGGGAAGUGAAAAGUGUCCUAGGCAAAGGCAAAUUACUUCCAUGGGACAGCCUCAAGCCAAGGUCAUACCUCUAGAAAUGUGCUGUUCCAUAACCUCGAGCGCAAAAUAAGAGACGCCUUGCUGUCCAGCCCUCGCAGCGGGCAUCUGAUGUUCACACAGUUCACGUUCACGCUACAGUUCUAGAGAGAAAAAGAAUGGUCAUCAAAAGACAUUGUUCUGAAGAAAUCCUUCCCCUCAUCCUCUCAAAUAUUCACAGCUCUUGAAAAAUACUUACAAGAGUCUGGUAUUUUCUUUCAGCAAAUAAAGAAAAUUUUCUGUUAUCAUCUA
This is a long non-coding RNA of Gorilla gorilla gorilla (western lowland gorilla), 3573 nucleotides long. RefSeq lists it as uncharacterized. The transcript has 5 exons. The record is from RefSeq and is a predicted model, not a curated record. Lineage: Eukaryota; Metazoa; Chordata; Mammalia; Primates; Hominidae.